GGGCUAAGCUUUCGUUGCAUUUACACCGUACUGACCAGCGUGUGGCGUUUCGAGGGCUUCGAAAAAGUGAUUCAUUUUGCGAAGAAAUUAAUUCAAAAUUCGUUAAUUCGACGCGACCAAAAGAAGCGGUAACACUAUAGCAGACAAAAGUUUUUUCCUCGCUAGAAAGAGCGCAAGAAAACAGAUACCGAGCUCGCUUUACUUGACGGGUAACGUUAAACGCAUAGCACGGUUACACCGCGGUGGCUAAAUCUGGCUAAAGUUCUUUGCCUGUGAUUCUCGCUUUCACAUUCAAGUCUUCCUGCUUUGACGGUGCGCAUGGCGGAGUUGAACACAUGAGGACCCCAUGCGCUCUGUACACAUCACAGCCAAAGCCUCAUUCAGGCUCCUAUGGUCCAGUCGCACGCAAAGAUCCAAGGAGGCACCAACAGCCGCAAGGACUGACCAGCUGGGUCAUAGUGCCUGAUAUGUAGACAGCAUUAAUGACAUGACUAAUGCCAAGUCCAACCCGAUAUCUAUUAGUAAUAUAAAGAGAGACAGAGAGAAAGAGUUUUUGUAGCUAUUAAAGAAAAAAAAACAAAUGCUGCCAUUCCUGAGGGAUUCUUACAC
This is a long non-coding RNA of Sinocyclocheilus rhinocerous, 609 nucleotides long. RefSeq lists it as uncharacterized. The transcript has 3 exons. Lineage: Eukaryota; Metazoa; Chordata; Actinopteri; Cypriniformes; Cyprinidae. The record is from RefSeq and is a predicted model, not a curated record.